UGGGUGGUUUCUCUGCUCGGGUUGGUGGCUCGGUUGGAUUUGCUCGUCCGCCCGCGUAUUGCGGCCGUGCUGCUGACUGUGGGCACCAUGCUGGGAUGGCCCGCUGAUCUGUCGUCUUGGGUGUGGCUUGCUUGGUGCCAUGCUGCUGUGCCCGACGCGCGGCCGGGGCACGGUGGACGUGCGUGCCUCACUCCGUGGGCCCGCGUCUGCCAUGCCCAGGCUGCUGAGUGCCCUUCUUCCUUGUCUCCGCCCCGCUGCACCCUCUCCUCGUGGCUCUCCUAGCUUCCUUCGACUGUCCUCUGCUGCGGUCUGUUGCGGUGGCCUCCUUUGCUCUAUGGGCGCCGUUGGUUGAGGUUCGUGCUGCUGUUCUUCUUGUGUUUUCCCCACACCUCUCUUCUUGCUUCGCUCUACUGAUUUCACGUAGUUGGGCAUCUUUCGACUUGCCGUUGUCGCCUGCGUCGAGCCGUGGGUCUUUCUGUCCUUCGCGUUCUGGUUGUUUUCCUCGUUUGUCCUGAUGUUUGGGUCGCGUGCUCCUCCUUCCUAGCUUUGGUUGUACGAUCUCGCCCGUUGCUGCUUGCCAUUUGGUUAUGUGGUACAGUGUGAAUCCUGUGGCUGCCCAGAUCUGAACUGUGCGUAGGGGCCGGCGUUCUCGGCCAGAUUUGGGCGUUCUUGCUGACUUUCUGUCUAACCUCUCCACAAGUAUACUAGCCCAUUUCUGUUUAUUUGAUUUUCCUUUCCAGGUACAUGCUUUAGUUUAUCCUGGUUUGCAUACCUUUUUAUGUUACCUUGGUAGUCGAUGCAGAAUCACAAAUGCAAAAUGAGAUGCGCAAAUGUGAGGAUAGACCUAUGGUUCGCGUUCACAACUUGUUCUUGUUAAAAGAACUACUCUACAAGUUUUUUGCAAGUUACAGUAAUUGUGAGGAUAUGAUACCUUAUAGAAAUGAUGCCUUAGUGUUUCUUGCUUGCAUCUGCAUUGUUGCAUGCCGUGAUUGUGUUCUGACCAGUUCAUUUCUGUAUUUUACAGGUUGUAUGAUCUUGUGCGUUGCUGCAUCUCCGUUCUGUUUGUUGCUUCAUCGCCGUUACAAUUUUUGAGAUAUCUAAGCUGACGUCUUGAAUAGUUCAUAACAGUCAGUCGGAACUGCAGGAGUCAUCUUCACCUUAAUCUAAAAUAAGAUCGGAACUGCAGGAGUCAUCUUCACCUUAAUCUAAAAUAAGAAGGUUUUCCUUUUGCUAGAUCUCUGAAAAAUCUGCAGUGGAGUAAGCGCUGGCGUUACCUAUUGCUCUGGUUUUUUAAGUUAAUUGCAGCUGGCAAAUCUUGCACUGAUGUUUUGAGUUCCAUCGUUCGCUGUGUGGAAGCUACUGAAUUCUAUAGUAGUGGAACACUUGUUCUGGUCUGGUCAUCUUGUAAUUUUCCUUUUUGCAGCUUAACUAUUGUAGGUAGACAGACUCUAUACAUACUGAAGAAAUGUGCCCGUCCGACAGUCCUUCAUGCUCAGUUGUACACUUGUAGUGAUAGCUUUGGGUACUGUGUGCACCCUUUCAUGUAAUUGUGUUACCCCGGAGAAAUUUAUAACUAUGAUCUCACAUACUUCAACUCA
Triticum aestivum (bread wheat) is the source of this 1598-nucleotide long non-coding RNA. RefSeq lists it as uncharacterized. The transcript has 3 exons. Lineage: Eukaryota; Viridiplantae; Streptophyta; Magnoliopsida; Poales; Poaceae. The record is from RefSeq and is a predicted model, not a curated record.